RNAcentral lists this ribosomal RNA (439 nucleotides) under uncultured bacterium. RNAcentral's name for it is "partial 16S ribosomal RNA". It matches the Rfam family "Bacterial small subunit ribosomal RNA", at positions 339 to 795 of the family's 1533-position model. The record is from RNAcentral.
CUACGGGUGGCACCAGUGGGGAAUAUUGCACAAUGGAGGAAACUCUGAUGCAGCAACGCCGCGUGGAGGAUGACACUUUUCGGAGCGUAAACUCCUUUUAUAUAGGAAGGAGAUGACGGUACUAUAUGAAUAAGCGCCGGCUAACUCCGUGCCAGCAGCCGCGGUAAUACGGAGGGCGCAAGCGUUACUCGGAAUCACUGGGCGUAAAGAGCGUGUAGGCGGAUUAAAAAGUCAGAAGUGAAAUCCUAUAGCUUAACUAUAGAACUGCUUCUGAAACUCUUAAUCUAGAAUAUGGGAGAGGUAGAUGGAAUUUCUGGUGUAGGGGUAAAAUCCGUAGAGAUCAGAAGGAAUACCGAUUGCGAAGGCGAUCUACUAGAACAUUAUUGACGCUGAGACGCGAAAGCGUGGGGAGCAAACAGGAUUAGAUACCCGAGUAGUC